Molecule: ribosomal RNA, 898 nt
Filed under: Berkeleyomyces basicola
Lineage: Eukaryota; Fungi; Ascomycota; Sordariomycetes; Microascales; Ceratocystidaceae
Description: LSU rRNA
Rfam family: Eukaryotic large subunit ribosomal RNA
Source: RNAcentral
GCAUAUCAAUAAGCGGAGGAAAAGAAACCAACAGGGAUUGCCCUAGUAACGGCGAGCGAAGCGGCAACAGCUCAAAUUUGAAAUCUGGCUAUUUUGUAGUCCGAGUUGUAAUUUGUAGAGGAUGCUUUUGGUGAGGUGCCUUCCGAGUUCCCUGGAACGGGACGCCAGAGAGGGUGAGAGCCCCGUACGGUUGGAUACCAAACCUUUGUAUAGCUCCUUCGACGAGUCGAGUAGUUUGGGAAUGCUGCUCUAAAUGGGAGGUAUAUCUCUUCUAAAGCUAAAUAUAGGCUAGAGACCGAUAGCGCACAAGUAGAGUGAUCGAAAGAUGAAAAGCACUUUGAAAAGAGAGUUAAACAGCACGUGAAAUUGUUGAAAGGGAAGCGCCUAUGACCAGACUUGUUUCUUUCAGUUUUGUUAGUUUUCGGACUGAUUUACUCUGUUAGUACAGGCCAGCAUCAGUUUGUUGUCAGGGAGAAAGGCUUAGGGAAUGUGGCUCUUUCGGGAGUGUUAUAGCCCUUUGCAUAAUACCUUUCGGCAGACUGAGGACCGCGCUUCGGCAAGGAUGCUGGCGUAAUGGUCAUCAGCGACCCGUCUUGAAACACGGACCAAGGAGUCAACCUUAUGUGCGAGUGUUUGGGUGUAAAACCCCAGCGCGUAAUGAACGUGAACGUAGGUGAGAGCUUCGGCGCAUCAUCGACCGAUUCUGAUGUUCUCGGAUGGAUUUGAGUAAGAGCACACAGGGUUGGACCCGAAAGAAGGUGAACUAUGCUUGUAUAGGGUGAAGCCAGAGGAAACUCUGGUGGAGGCUCGCAGCGGUUCUGACGUGCAAAUCGAUCGUCAAAUUAUGAGCAUGGGGGCGAAAGACUAAUCGAACCUUCUAGUAGCUGGUUCCAGCCGA